RNAcentral lists this long non-coding RNA (3215 nucleotides) under Homo sapiens (human). RNAcentral describes it as "HSALNT0349453". Lineage: Eukaryota; Metazoa; Chordata; Mammalia; Primates; Hominidae. The record is from RNAcentral.
CUCUUUCUUGCUUUGCCUCAUAAUUUUGGACUUACCUAGUAGCUUCUUCUUCUUUUUUUUUUUUUUCCUUUUUCACAUCAGAUGGGAAAUGUGCCAACGUCACAACAAGGUUUGAGGGAGGCACAUCUCAUGCUCGGACAUGAACACCCGAUCAUCAUGCUUAUGAACUACAAAAGGAUCUCCAGUAUGGGCUCACGGCAGGUAAUUGUUUUGAGACUUAUGUCUGAAAUGUUUGUAUCCCACCCAAAUAUUUAAUUGUUAACUUUGAUAGGUGUAGAAUUCUAGGCUAGAAAUAAUUUUUUUCUACAGAAUUCUAAAGUCAUUGUUACAUUAUCUUUUUGCUUCUACUGGGGCUGUUGAGAAAUUCACAGUCAUUUUGGUAUUUUGAGCAAUGAUUUUUACCUUUUUCUGAAAAGUUUUAAAAUUCCCUCUUUUAUGUCUAUUGUUCUGAAAGUUUAAGAUGAUGGAACUUAGUGUGAGUUUAUUUUUAUCUAUUGUACUGAAUAUUUACUGUACCUUUUAAGUCUAGAAACUCAUGCCCUUCAGUACUGAUAAAUUUCUUGGAUUAUUUCUUGUGUCUUUUUUCUUCUAUUUUUCAAGUUCUUUUUCUGAAAUUUUAGUUACUCAGUUGAUGAACUCCUAGAAUGAUUUUCUAUAUUUCUUAUCUUUUAUAUCAUAUCUUCCAUCUUUUUGAUUUUUCAUUCUACUUUCUAAGAGAUUUCCCUAAAUUUAUCUUCUAACUAUUUGACUGAAAUUUUCAUUCUGGCUGUCAAAUUUGAAUUUAUAAUUACUAUCUUGUUUUACAAUUGUUUUCCUUUUGCCAGAAUAUUGUUUUUAUUUAAUAAAUUACAAUAACUUCUCCUAUUUGUCUGAGGAUGUUGAUGAUAGUUUCCUUUUGAAGUUUUUAUUUUCCUGCAGAGUUUUCUAUAAGUUGCUUUUUUUUCCCCCAUAAUAUUUUGGCCUUUACAGUUGGCCCUUGAAUAACAUGAAUUUGAACUGCCUGAGUCUGCUAAUAUGUGGAUUAUCUUCUGCUUCUGCACCCUGAGACAGCAAGACCAACCCUUCCUCUUGCUUCUUUUCCUUAGCCUAUUCAACGUGAAGAUGACUAAGGUCUGUUCCACAUUAUCUUCACUCUAGGACCCAAGCUGAUAAAGCAGCUCCCUCUGGAGCUAUUGAUGGUCUCAUGGAAGAGACAAAAAAAGAUCACAGUGAAUCACAUUCUGCUUCUGAACUCUUCUGCCUGGAAGUGACAAACAUCAUUUCCAUCACAUUUCACUGACCAAAGCAAGUCAUGAGUGUAAGCCUAGUAUCAGUGGGGUGGGGAAGGAGAAGCAAAUUAUUGGAAACCACAGGAGGUUAUUGCAAUAAUAAGGCAAAAAUGAAGCCAGUGGCUGGGUGCAGUGGCUCAUGCCUGUAAUCUUAGCACUUUGGGAGGCCAAGGCAGGUGGAUCACUUGAGCUUAGGAGUUCAAGACCAGCCUGGGCAACAUGGUGAAACCCUGUCUCUACAAAAAAUAAAAAAAAAAUUAGCCAGGCAUGGUGGCAUACACCUGUAGUCCCAGCUACUUGCGGGGCUGAGGCAGGAGCAUCACUUGAACCCAGGAGCUCAAGGCUGCAGUGAGCUGUGAUCUUACCACUGCACUCUAGCCUGGGUGACAGAGUAAGACCUUGUCUCAAUAAAAAAUAAUGAAGCUGGCUUGGUCUAGAGUGGAAACAGUUGAGGUGGUAAAAGGACUUGCUGCUUGAAUAAAUGUGGGGUAUGAGAAACGGAAGAGUUAAGACGGACUCCAGGGUUUUGGUCUGAACACCUUGGUGAAGGAUUUGUACCACUUGCUGAGUUGUAGAAGUCUGAGGGAGGUGCAGGGUUAAGGGGAAAAAUUAGGAAUUCCAUUUUGGACAUUUCUAAUAAGGGAAACAAUGGAUUUAAAGAUAAAAUGUGGGAGUCCUCAGCAUGUAGACUGACUUUGAAGCCAUGGACUGGAUGAGAUCACAUGGAGAAUGAGAGCAGAGAGAGGAAACAAGAAGGCUGAAAGUGAGCCUGGGGUCUGUCAGUCUAUAUAGGUCAGGAGGAAGAGGGGAAUCCAGAGAGGGAGAGAUGGAAGAGACAGAUUGGGAAGAGGGGAAAAAAGAAUGUGGGACUGCCUAGAAACCCAGUAAAAAAAAAGUGUUUCAUGAAAAGAAGGAUCAACAGUGUCAGUUGCUGCUAUUAAGUAAGAUGAGGAUUAAAAUCCAUUGUUGGACUUGGUCAGAUGCAGGCACUAGUGACCUUGACAGGCCAUUGGUGACUUUGUUACAUGGUGGGGGUAAAAGUCUGAUUGAAAUGGGUUGAGAAGAGCCCGAAUGUUCUUCUGAUUCCAAAGUCAAUGCCUACCUUGUUUUGCUAAGCUGCAUAGAAAGUUCUCGUGUGCAGGAUGCAGUCACUGAAAAUGUUGUAGAACUGAAGAAUUUGUACCUCAUUCUUGGAACCACUCAACCUGGAAGAACAACUCCCUACAAACGUGAAGGCAACUACCUGAGCAUAACUGGUUCACUGCCUUUUCUUCUGGGAGUGUGUUGAGUAAAAUUUGAACAGAAAUAUCUGUUUUUCCAUCCAGGCUCUAGGCAAAGUCUCCUUCAAUGAUGGGGCAUGGUACAAAUUUGUUAGCUCCCUUAACUAUGAAGACACAAGAAAAGGUUGGAAAUUAGGAUUAGGAAAAAUAGAAGCUUAUUGUUUACUGCCCAGCUUCAAGUACGGGAAAUAAAACCUUUUUCCAAGAGCAAUACAUUGGAUUAAAUGAAGUAAUUUUACUUCAGAAUGAUACUCCAAGGGGCUUUCCCAAGUAGUAAAACAGACAGCAAAAGCUCUGAAAUAAAGUGAGAGAAAGGUGGGAAAUGGAAAAGAAAAUAAACAUGCAUCUAUUACUGGGUGCAUUUUUGUUUGGCCUGUAGGGCAUUCCUGCUGACAGCCAUUUCUGGCUGUGUAUGAGAUAUGCCAUGGAGACAUGGGAGGACCAGAUGGCACUUCUGAGCCUCACCCUCAGGUACUGAUUGUAUCCAAAAUAAGCCAGGUUGGUAAGGCCAGGAAAACAAGACUUGGGGGAUAUUUUCUAUAAACUGGAAAGACUUCCAACAUCUUUCAAAGAUGGUUAUGGUUCUUGUCUCAUAAUCCUGUGCUCCCAGGCAAUCGCAGUAUUCCAAAUAUUUAAUAACAAGUAAAGAAAAGGGCUUGAGUAAUUG